This 497-nucleotide ribosomal RNA is filed under the name uncultured bacterium. Its description in RNAcentral is "partial 16S ribosomal RNA". It matches the Rfam family "Bacterial small subunit ribosomal RNA", at positions 28 to 507 of the family's 1533-position model. The record is from RNAcentral.
GAUGAACGCUGGCGGCGUGCCUAAUACAUGCAAGUCGAGCGAACGGACGAGAAGCUUGCUUCUCUGAUGUUAGCGGCGGACGGGUGAGUAACACGUGGAUAACCUACCUAUAAGACUGGGAUAACUUCGGGAAACCGUAGCUAAUACCGGAUAAUAUUUUGAACCGCAUGGUUCAAAAGUGAAAGACGGUCUUGCUGUCACUUAUAGAUGUAUCCGCGCUGCAUUAGCUAGUUGGUAAGGUAACGGCUUACCAAGGCAACGAUGCAUAGCCGACCUGAGAGGUUGAUAGGCCACACUGGAACUGAGACACGGUCCAGACUCCUACGGGAGGAAGCAGUAGGGAAUCUUCCGCAAUAGGCGAAAGCCUGACGGAGCAACGCCGCGUGAGUGAUGAAGGUCUUCGGAUCGUAAAACUCUGUUAUUAGGGAAGAACAUAUGUGUAAGUAACUGUGCACAUCUUGACGGUACCUAAUGAGAAAGCCACGGCUAACUCCGUG